Molecule: ribosomal RNA, 253 nt
Filed under: uncultured bacterium
Lineage: Bacteria
Description: partial 16S ribosomal RNA
Rfam family: Bacterial small subunit ribosomal RNA
Source: RNAcentral
UACGUAGGGCGCAAGCGUUGUCCGGAAUUAUUGGGCGUAAAGAGCUCGUAGGCGGCUUGUCACGUCGGGUGUGAAAGCCCGGGGCUUAACCCCGGGUCUGCAUUCGAUACGGGCUAGCUAGAGUGUGGUAGGGGAGAUCGGAAUUCCUGGUGUAGCGGUGAAAUGCGCAGAUAUCAGGAGGAACACCGGUGGCGAAGGCGGCAUCCUGGACCGGCAUUGACGCUGAGGAGCGAAAGCCAGGGGAGCAAACGGG